UGCGUAGGCAGCAAGCGUUGUUCGGAGUUACUGGGCGUAAAGGGUGCGUAGGCGGCUUUUUAAGUCUGGUGUGAAAUCUCCCGGCUCAACUGGGAGGGUGCGCCGGAUACUGAGGGGCUAGAGUGUGGGAGAGGAAAGUGGAAUUCCUGGUGUAGCGGUGAAAUGCGUAGAUAUCAGGAGGAACACCGGUGGUGUAAACGGCUUUCUGGACCAUAACUGACGCUGAGGCACGAAAGCGUGGGUAGCAAACAGG
This 253-nucleotide ribosomal RNA is filed under the name uncultured bacterium. RNAcentral describes it as "partial 16S ribosomal RNA". It matches the Rfam family "Bacterial small subunit ribosomal RNA", at positions 524 to 776 of the family's 1533-position model. The record is from RNAcentral.